AUUGAACGCUGGCGGUAGGCCUAACACAUGCAAGUCGAGCGCGAAAGUGCCUUCGGGCGCGAGUAGAGCGGCGGACGGGUGCGUAACGCGUAGGAAUCUGCCUGGUAGUGGGGGAUAACUCGGGGAAACUCGAGCUAAUACCGCAUACGCCCCACGGGGGAAAGCGGGGGACCUUCGGGCCUCGCGCUAUCAGAUGAGCCUGCGUCGGAUUAGCUAGUUGGUAGGGUAAUGGCCUACCAAGGCGACGAUCCGUAGCUGGUCUGAGAGGAUGAUCAGCCACACUGGGACUGAGACACGGCCCAGACUCCUACGGGAGGCAGCAGUGGGGAAUUUUGGACAAUGGGGGCAACCCUGAUCCAGCCAUGCCGCGUGAGUGAAGAAGGCCUUCGGG
This 391-nucleotide ribosomal RNA is filed under the name uncultured bacterium. Its description in RNAcentral is "bacterial SSU rRNA". It matches the Rfam family "Bacterial small subunit ribosomal RNA", at positions 28 to 422 of the family's 1533-position model. The record is from RNAcentral.